UACGUAGGUGGCAAGCGUUAUCCGGAAUUAUUGGGCGUAAAGAGCGCGCAGGUGGUUGAUUAAGUCUGAUGUGAAAGCCCACGGCUUAACCGUGGAGGGUCAUUGGAAACUGGUCGACUUGAGUGCAGAAGAGGGAAGUGGAAUUCCAUGUGUAGCGGUGAAAUGCGUAGAGAUAUGGAGGAACACCAGUGGCGAAGGCGGCUUCCUGGUCUGUAACUGACACUGAGGCGCGAAAGCGUGGGAAGCAAACAGGAUUAGAUACCCCGGUA
Molecule: ribosomal RNA, 269 nt
Filed under: uncultured prokaryote
Description: partial 16S ribosomal RNA
Rfam family: Bacterial small subunit ribosomal RNA
Source: RNAcentral